UGCUGCGGCGGCUAGACUGCACGUUAACGGUACGACACUAGCUUGCUAGUGGGCGACGAGUGGCGGACGGGUGAGUAACGCGUACGAAUCUACCUAGUAGUGGGGGAUAGCCAAGGGAAACUUUGGGUAAUACCGCAUACGAUCUAAGGAUGAAAGGGGGCCUCUCUUUGAAGCUCUCGCUAUUAGAUGAGCCUGCGUAAGAUUAGCUUGUUGGUGAGGUAAUGGCUCACCAAGGCGACGAUCUUUAGCUGGUCUGAGAGGAUGAUCAGUCACACUGGAACUGAGACACGGUCCAGACUCCUACGGGAGGCAGCAGUCGGGAAUAUUGGACAAUGGGGGAAACCCUGAUCCAGCCAUGCCGCGUGUGUGAAGAAGGCCCUAGGGUUGUACAGCACUUUUAGUAGUGAGGAAGGCUCAGCAGUUAAUACCUGCUGGGAUUGACGUUAGCUACAGAAAAAGCACCGGCUAAUUUCGUGCCAGCAGCCGCGGUAAUACGAAAGGUGCAAGCGUUAAUCGGAAUUACUGGGCGUAAAGCGCGCGUAGGCGGCUUGGUAAGUUGGAUGUGAAAGCCC
This 572-nucleotide ribosomal RNA is filed under the name uncultured Gammaproteobacteria bacterium. RNAcentral describes it as "bacterial SSU rRNA". It matches the Rfam family "Bacterial small subunit ribosomal RNA", at positions 34 to 603 of the family's 1533-position model. The record is from RNAcentral. Lineage: Bacteria; Pseudomonadati; Pseudomonadota; Gammaproteobacteria.